RNAcentral lists this non-coding RNA (26 nucleotides) under Mus musculus (house mouse). Lineage: Eukaryota; Metazoa; Chordata; Mammalia; Rodentia; Muridae. The record is from RNAcentral.
UUCUGUCCAGAAAUGAGAAUCCCACC